RNAcentral lists this ribosomal RNA (194 nucleotides) under uncultured bacterium. Its description in RNAcentral is "partial 16S ribosomal RNA". It matches the Rfam family "Bacterial small subunit ribosomal RNA", at positions 1307 to 1500 of the family's 1533-position model. The record is from RNAcentral.
GCAACUCGGCUGCAUGAAGCCGGAAUCGCUAGUAAUCGCGGAUCAGAACGCCGCGGUGAAUACGUUCCCGGGUCUUGUACACACCGCCCGUCACACCAUGGGAGUCGGGAACGCCCGAAGUCGGUGCCCCAACCGUAAGGAGGGAGCCGCCGAAGGCGGGCCCGGCGACUGGGGUGAAGUCGUAACAAGGUACC